CCUACGGGGUGCAGCAGUGAGGCAUAUUGGUCAAUGGACGAGAGUCUGAACCAGGCAAGUAGCGUGAAGGAUGACUGCCCUAUGGGUUGUAAACUUCUUUUAUAAAGGCAUAAACCGCGGCCCUUGUGCCUUUUUGCAUGUGCUUUUUGAAUAAGGAUCGGCUAACUCCGUGCCAGCAGCCGCGUUAAUACGGAGGAUCCGAGCGUUAUCCGGAUUUUUUGGGUUUAAAGGGAGCUUAGCUGGGUUUUUAAGUCAGUUGUGAAAGUUUGCGGCUCAACCGUAAAAGUGCAAUUGAUACUGGCAGUCUUGAGUACAGGUGAGGUAGGCGGAAUUCGUGGUGUAGCGGUGAAAUGCUUAGAUAUCACGAAGAACCCCGAUUGCGAAGGCAGCUUACUAAACUGUGACUGACAUUGAUGCUCGAAAGUGUGGGUAUCAAACAGGAUUAGAUACCCUAGUAGUC
Molecule: ribosomal RNA, 460 nt
Filed under: uncultured bacterium
Lineage: Bacteria
Description: partial 16S ribosomal RNA
Rfam family: Bacterial small subunit ribosomal RNA
Source: RNAcentral